Non-coding RNA from Lingula anatina, 69 nucleotides. The record is from Rfam. Lineage: Eukaryota; Metazoa; Brachiopoda; Lingulata; Lingulida; Lingulidae.
CAGUGGUCUGUGCUCUUUGAGUGUUUUUCUAGUGGGGGAUUAUUUCAUUUCAAAUCUUAUAAUUCCCAG